Molecule: long non-coding RNA, 285 nt
Filed under: Bemisia tabaci
Lineage: Eukaryota; Metazoa; Arthropoda; Insecta; Hemiptera; Aleyrodidae
Description: lncRNA ENSSSA1UGG011559
Source: RNAcentral
AUGGAAAUCUUCUUCACGGUAAUGACCAUUUCCUUGCUGUCGAUACCCACCUGCUUCGCCUUCGACACCUCGAACGACGCGAUCCCGUCUGACGUCAUCGAGAAACCGUCGGGAAACUCCGGCGAGGAAAUCAUGAAAACGGCCGAAAACGUCAUUUUCCGACCGUACUUCCAACACCCCGUCCACCAUCACCACGGUGCCCAUCAUCACCACGGAAACCCGCAGACAAACUCCCAGCCAGCCGUGGAGGCGCGUCGGAAACAAAAACUUCUCCGGUUCUCUUGA